CUAAGCCCUUCCUUUGUCUCACUGCCCCAGAUUUAAUAAACGUACUCUCAAAAAUUACUUUGAAAAUUCAA
This is a long non-coding RNA of Phyllostomus discolor (pale spear-nosed bat), 71 nucleotides long. RefSeq lists it as uncharacterized. NCBI's taxonomy places the organism in Eukaryota, Metazoa, Chordata, Mammalia, Chiroptera, Phyllostomidae. The record is from RefSeq and is a predicted model, not a curated record. The transcript is spliced from 3 exons.